AAAUUUGGUGGUCAAGUUAUUAAGGGUAUAUGGUGGAUGCCUAGGCGCCAAUAGGCGAUGAAGGACGCG
Molecule: ribosomal RNA, 69 nt
Filed under: Candidatus Schekmanbacteria bacterium RIFCSPLOWO2_02_FULL_38_14
Lineage: Bacteria; Candidatus Schekmaniibacteriota
Description: partial 23S ribosomal RNA
Source: RNAcentral